RNAcentral lists this ribosomal RNA (459 nucleotides) under uncultured bacterium. Its description in RNAcentral is "partial 16S ribosomal RNA". It matches the Rfam family "Bacterial small subunit ribosomal RNA", at positions 338 to 795 of the family's 1533-position model. The record is from RNAcentral.
CCUACGGGAGGCAGCAGUGAGGAAUAUUGGUCAAUGGACGAGAGUCUGAACCAGCCAAGUAGCGUGAAGGAUGACUGCCCUAUGGGUUGUAAACUUCUUUUGUCAAGGGACAAAAUCAGGCUCGAGAGCCUGACCGAGGGUACUUGAAGAAAAAGCAUCGGCUAACUCCGUGCCAGCAGCCGCGGUAAUACGGAGGAUGCGAGCGUUAUCCGGAUUUAUUGGGUUUAAGGGGUGCGUAGGCGGACUGUUAAGUCAGCGGUAAAAGCCCGGGGCUCAACCCCGGAGAGCCGUUGAAACUGGCUGUCUUGAGAUGUCGAGAGGUAUGCGGAAUGCGCAGUGUAGCGGUGAAAUGCUUAGAUAUUGCGCAGAACUCCGAUUGCGAAGGCAGUUCACUGGACUGCAACUGACACUGAGGCUCGAAAGUGUGGGUAUCAAACAGGAUUAGAUACCCGGGUAGUC